AGAGUUUGAUCAUGGCUCAGGACGAACGCUGGCGGCGCGCUUAACACAUGCAAGUCGAGCGAGAACCAGGGCUUCGGCCCUGGGGACAGCGGCGAACGGGUGAGUAACACGUGAGUAAUCUGCCCUCGACACCGGGAUAGCCCGGGGAAACCCGGAUUAAUACCGGAUAGCCUUUCGAGCUCUCGGGCUCGUCAGAAAAGGAUGGCUUCGGCUUUCGGUUGAGGAUGAGCUUGCGGCGGAUUAGCUUGUUGGUGGGGUAACGGCUCACCAAGGCGACAAUCCGUAGCUGGUCUGAGAGGACGAUCAGCCACACUGGGACUGAGACACGGCCCAGACUCCUACGGGAGGCAGCAGUGGGGAAUCUUGCGCAAUGAGCGAAAGCUUGACGCAGCGACGCCGCGUGAGGGAAGAAGGCCUUCGGGUUGUAAACCUCUUUCAGGAGGGACGAAGCCGCUCGGGCUAAUACCCCAGAGGGUGACGGUACCUCCAGAAGAAGCCCCGGCUAACUACGUGCCAGCAGCCGCGGUAAUACGUAGGGGGCAAGCGUUGUCCGGAAUUAUUGGGCGUAAAGAGCGUGUAGGCGGCCAGGUAGGUCUGCUGUGAAAACUCGAGGCUCAACCUCGAGCUGUCGGUGGAAACCAUCUGGCUAGAGUCCGGAAGAGGAGAAUGGAAUUCCUGGUGUAGCGGUGAAAUGCGCAGAUAUCAGGAAGAACACCCGUGGCGAAGGCGGUUCUCUGGGACGGUACUGACGCUGAGACGCGAAAGCGUGGGGAGCAAACAGGAUUAGAUACCCCCGUAGUCC
RNAcentral lists this ribosomal RNA (802 nucleotides) under uncultured Conexibacter sp. RNAcentral's name for it is "bacterial SSU rRNA". It matches the Rfam family "Bacterial small subunit ribosomal RNA", at positions 8 to 796 of the family's 1533-position model. The record is from RNAcentral. Lineage: Bacteria; Bacillati; Actinomycetota; Thermoleophilia; Solirubrobacterales; Conexibacteraceae.